UGGGGAAUUUUGGACAAUGGGCGCAAGCCUGAUCCAGCAAUGCCGCGUGCAGGAUGAAGGCCUUCGGGUUGUAAACUGCUUUUGUACGGAGCGAAAAGGUUGUCUCUAAUACAGAUGGUUCAUGACGGUACCGUAAGAAUAAGCACCGGCUAACUACGUGCCAGCAGCCGCGGUAAUACGUAGGGUGCAAGCGUUAAUCGGAAUUACUGGGCGUAAAGCGUGCGCAGGCGGUGAUGUAAGACAGAUGUGAAAUCCCCGGGCUCAACCUGGGACCUGCAUUUGUGACUGCAUCGCUGGAGUGCGGCAGAGGGGGAUGGAAUUCCGCGUGUAGCAGUGAAAUGCGUAGAUAUGCGGAGGAACACCGAUGGCGAAGGCAAUCCCCUGGGCCUGCACUGACGCUCAUGCACGAAAGCGUGGGGAGCAAA
Molecule: ribosomal RNA, 425 nt
Filed under: uncultured bacterium
Lineage: Bacteria
Description: bacterial SSU rRNA
Rfam family: Bacterial small subunit ribosomal RNA
Source: RNAcentral